This 253-nucleotide ribosomal RNA is filed under the name uncultured bacterium. RNAcentral's name for it is "partial 16S ribosomal RNA". It matches the Rfam family "Bacterial small subunit ribosomal RNA", at positions 524 to 776 of the family's 1533-position model. The record is from RNAcentral.
GACGUAGGGGGCCAGCGUUGCUCGGAAUUACUGGGUGUAAAGGGUUCGUAGGCGGUGUGGCAAGUCGGGAGUGAAAUCUCUGGGCUCAACUCAGAGUCUGCUUCCGAAACUGCUGUGCUUGAGUGUGGGAGAGGCGCGUGGAAUUGCAGGUGUAGCGGUGAAAUGCGUAGAUAUCUGCAGGAACACCCGUGGCGAAAGCGGCGCGCUGGACCACUACUGACGCUGAGGAACGAAAGCUAGGGGAGCAAACAGG